CUACUGACCGAGACGCUUCUCUUUGGGCCGCAGCACUUUAUAGCAAACGCGGAGCACUGCUGACGUCAGAGGCCUUAGUCUCCGCCCCGUUACUCUCUCGAUCGCUUUCUUCCAAUACCGAAAAAAGGCAGGCAGUGAGCAGGGCAGCUUUGAGUGAAGCAUUGGGGACCUCCUCGCUCGCGCCAAAGUUGAAGUGAAGGAAGGAGGAGAAGGACGUCGCGAAAGGGACCCGGGUAGGAUUCUCUCGGGUGCGAGCUUCCAACUUGCAAGAUCUUGUUUACAAAAAUAGCCACGCUGGGAUUACUGAGGCUACUGUAUCAAUCACCUUUGAUAAUUUUGAGAAGAAGCAGAGUCCCCUAGGAUUUGAGAAGCAUGACGAGGUAACAGUCACAAGGCAGGUGGUGAUUGGAGGCAGGAAUAAGUAUCUAAUCAAUGGUGUGAAUGCAAACAAUUCUGUUGUUGUUAUGUGCCUUCAAGUCGACUA
Molecule: long non-coding RNA, 484 nt
Organism: Rhineura floridana
Lineage: Eukaryota; Metazoa; Chordata; Lepidosauria; Squamata; Rhineuridae
Exons: 3
Source: RefSeq, a predicted model, not a curated record